Molecule: non-coding RNA, 30 nt
Filed under: Homo sapiens (human)
Lineage: Eukaryota; Metazoa; Chordata; Mammalia; Primates; Hominidae
Source: RNAcentral
UCUUCAGGCUGAACCCGAAGGGGAUCUGUG